UACGUAGGGGGCGAGCGUUGUCCGGAUUUACUGGGCGUAAAACGCUUGUAGGUGGCCACGCCAAGUCGGAUGUGAAAUCUCCCGGCUUAACUGGGAGCGGUCAUUCGAUACUGGCGGGCUCGAGGCAGGUAGGGGGAAGCGGAAUUCCCGGUGUAGUGGUGGAAUGCGUAGAUAUCGGGAGGAACACCAGUGGCGAAGGCGGCUUCCUGGCCUGUUCUUGACGCUGAGGCGCGAAAGCUAGGGUAGCAAACGGG
RNAcentral lists this ribosomal RNA (254 nucleotides) under uncultured bacterium. Its description in RNAcentral is "partial 16S ribosomal RNA". It matches the Rfam family "Bacterial small subunit ribosomal RNA", at positions 524 to 776 of the family's 1533-position model. The record is from RNAcentral.